This 407-nucleotide ribosomal RNA is filed under the name uncultured bacterium. RNAcentral describes it as "bacterial SSU rRNA". It matches the Rfam family "Bacterial small subunit ribosomal RNA", at positions 8 to 429 of the family's 1533-position model. The record is from RNAcentral.
AGAGUUUGAUCCUGGCUCAGAAUCAACGCUGGCGGCGCGCCUAACACAUGCAAGUCGAACGAGAAAGUGGAGCAAUCCAUGAGUAAAGUGGCGUACGGGUGAGUAACACGUGGAUAAUCUGCCCUUUAGUGGGGAAUACCGUUGGGAAACCGACGACAAUACCGCAUAAGCUCGAGAGAGGAAAGCAGCAAUGCGCUGAAGGAGGAGUCCGCGGUCGAUUAGCUAGUUGGUGAGGUAAUGGCUCACCAAGGCUGUGAUCGAUAGCCGGCCUGAGAGGGCACACGGCCACACUGGCACUGAAACACGGGCCAGACUCCUACGGGAGGCAGCAGUGGGGAAUCUUGCACAAUGGGGGAAACCCUGAUGCAGCGACGCCGCGUGAGCGAUGAAGCCCUUCGGGGUGUAAA